UCAUUAUAAUGUAAAAAACAGUAAAACAAGUGCUAAUAACGUUCUUCUUAUUGUUGCAAAACAUGCAAGAAAUGAUGCUGUGCUCAAGUAUAUAUUCGACAAUAUAAGAUUGUUCGAAUUCAGUAUAAACAAGCAAAUUGAUCACAUUGCCAUAUUAAUCGUUAUUAUUACGCACGAACAUUCUGUAGAACAAUUCGAAAAGAUAACUGAAUUUGCGGAAGGUCUUAGUGAAAAGCGACUAAUUGAUGCAGUUAAACAAAAAAUAAAGAAACGAAAAUUGGAAUGUGAAAAAACGAGUCACAUACUACGAGCGCAUCGAGGUACCUUCCUAUAUAGAAAGAAAGAAUUAAGCAAACAAUUGAAUCCAUGAAAGACAAUUG
Linepithema humile (Argentine ant) is the source of this 380-nucleotide non-coding RNA. Lineage: Eukaryota; Metazoa; Arthropoda; Insecta; Hymenoptera; Formicidae. The record is from RefSeq and is a predicted model, not a curated record.